RNAcentral lists this ribosomal RNA (448 nucleotides) under uncultured bacterium. RNAcentral's name for it is "partial 16S ribosomal RNA". It matches the Rfam family "Bacterial small subunit ribosomal RNA", at positions 29 to 523 of the family's 1533-position model. The record is from RNAcentral.
AACGAACGCUGGCGGCAUGCCUAACACAUGCAAGUCGAACGAGAUCUUCGGGUCUAGUGGCGCACGGGUGCGUAACGCGUGGGAAUCUGCCCUUUGGUUCGGAAUAACAGUUGGAAACGACUGCUAAUACCGGAUGAUGACGAAAGUCCAAAGAUUUAUCGCCAGAGGAUGAGCCCGCGUAGGAUUAGCUAGUUGGUGUGGUAAAGGCGCACCAAGGCGACGAUCCUUAGCUGGUCUGAGAGGAUGAUCAGCCACACUGGGACUGAGACACAGCCCAGACUCCUACGGGAGGCAGCAGUGGGGAAUAUUGGACAAUGGGCGAAAGCCUGAUCCAGAAUGCCGCGUGAGUGAUGAAGGCCUUAGGGUUGUAAAGCUCUUUUACCCGGGAUGAUAAUGACAGUACCGGGAGAAUAAGCUCCGGCUAACUCCGUGCCAGCCGCCGCAGUAA